AGUGGGGAAUAUUGGACAAUGGGCGAAAGCCUGAUCCAGCCAUGCCGCGUGUGUGAAGAAGGUCUUCGGAUUGUAAAGCACUUUAAGUUGGGAGGAAGGGCAGUCAGUUAAUACCUUGCUGCUUUGACGUUACCGACAGAAUAAGCACCGGCUAACUCUGUGCCAGCAGCCGCGGUAAUACAGAGGGUGCAAGCGUUAAUCGGAAUUACUGGGCGUAAAGCGCGCGUAGGUGGUUUGCCAAGUUGGAUGUGAAAGCCCCGGGCUCAACCUGGGAACUGCAUCCAAAACUGGCAGGCUAGAGUACGGUAGAGGGUGGUGGAAUUUCCUGUGUAGCGGUGAAAUGCGUAGAUAUAGGAAGGAACACCAGUGGCGAAGGCGACCACCUGGACUGGUACUGACACUGAGGUGCGAAAGCGUGGGGAGCAAA
Molecule: ribosomal RNA, 427 nt
Filed under: Pseudomonas putida
Lineage: Bacteria; Pseudomonadati; Pseudomonadota; Gammaproteobacteria; Pseudomonadales; Pseudomonadaceae
Description: bacterial SSU rRNA
Rfam family: Bacterial small subunit ribosomal RNA
Source: RNAcentral